This is a long non-coding RNA of Topomyia yanbarensis, 575 nucleotides long. RefSeq lists it as uncharacterized. The record is from RefSeq and is a predicted model, not a curated record. The transcript is spliced from 2 exons. NCBI's taxonomy places the organism in Eukaryota, Metazoa, Arthropoda, Insecta, Diptera, Culicidae.
AAACCGUUAGAGAUUUUACACAAGUUGAAUGCUGAAGAUGGACGUCUGUUCUCUGUGCUGGAAGUGUAAUGUAAACACUAUUUUCGUUCGUUGGUGCGUCGGGUAACUUCAGCAAAAUAUUGUUUAUAUUAGGUUUGUUCCAGUACCUGGAGAAACUGGAAGUACUCCAGAGAAAAUCGUUCCUGUAAUAAAAUUAAUUAAACUCAGCAUUUCUAUGCAUUUUGUGUCGUCGAAGUCUCUCAGAUUGCUACCCACAAGCUCCAUGUUGCGAUUCAAAAUCGGAAUCACAAUCCUGAACUAAGCACCGUAGGCUGAUUUGUUGGAACCGGAUUUUUUUUAGUAUUUGUGACGGUAUCUUUCGUGUGCAUGAAAUGAAGAAAACCCAAGAAAAUGGAGCAAUUCUCUUCCGGUAUCAAAGUUGGCUUUAAAAAAGAGAUAUUUGCUCAUGCCAUCGUCGAUGUUCUGAUCGGUAACAAGUUUCUAGACCAUGCCAUUGAUGCGCUGGGUAACGCUGUUACGGAAAGAGCAAAAUCGCCACCGCUCAGAUUCUGCGAGUCGGUAUCCAUACAGGCUGG